GACGAACGCUGGCGGCAUGCUUAACACAUGCAAGUCGAACGGAAAGGCCUCUUUCGGGGGGUACUCGAGUGGCGAACGGGUGAGUAACACGUGAGUAACCUGCCCUUGUCUUUGGGAUAACUUCAGGCAACUGGGGCUAAUACCGGAUAGGAGCUCCUGCUGCAUGGAGGGGGUUGGAAAGUUUCGGCGGUUGGGGAUGGACUCGCGGCUUAUCAGCUUGUUGGUGGGGUAGUGGCUUACCAAGGCUUUGACGGGUAGCCGGCCUGAGAGGGUGACCGGCCACAUUGGGACUGAGAUACGGCCCAGACUCCUACGGGAGGCAGCAGUGGGGAAUAGUGCAAAAUGGGUGGAAGCCUGAUGCAGCAACGCCGUGUGCGGGAUGACGGCCUUCGGGUUGUAAACCGCUUUCGCUCAUGACGAAGCUUUGUGUGACGGUAGUGGGUAAAGAAGCACCGGCUAACUACGUG
RNAcentral lists this ribosomal RNA (467 nucleotides) under uncultured bacterium. RNAcentral describes it as "partial 16S ribosomal RNA". It matches the Rfam family "Bacterial small subunit ribosomal RNA", at positions 28 to 507 of the family's 1533-position model. The record is from RNAcentral.